RNAcentral lists this long non-coding RNA (884 nucleotides) under Monodelphis domestica (gray short-tailed opossum). RNAcentral's name for it is "lncRNA (ENSMODG00000042105.1)". Lineage: Eukaryota; Metazoa; Chordata; Mammalia; Didelphimorphia; Didelphidae. The record is from RNAcentral.
UUACUCCUACGUCUGCGCCUGCGCCAGGUGUUCCCCCAUGCGCCUGCGCACCGCAGGGAGCUCCAGUGUCAGGCUCCUCCUCCUCACUCUUUCGCUUUCACUUUCCCAACAGCAAGGGGAUCUUCCAGUUGCUUAAGAAUUAGAUGGAAAAUGAAAGGGGAGGCUUUCCCCUUUUCCCCAACUGCUGGAACCCGGACUCUAAUAUCUGCACCUGGCCGAGUCUUGUGAGGAAAAACUACUCCCUCAAAAGCUCCAGUAUUGGCAUUUACCCCCCCACCAAGUCCUGUAAACCAAAGCUGGCUGGUGGAGAUGCCAUGGGAAGACUCCAGAAGAGAGUUCCUUUGAGGGAGAGAGCAAAAAGGGCUGCGGCAGGUGAGAAACGAGGUUUUCUCAAAAUAAUCUACUCCCUAACUUUACUCAAAGACUAUCUUAAAAGAAGAUCAAGGGUUCUAUCCCUUUGUGGCUCACCAACAAUAUUAAAUUUAAAUUAAUGUCAUUAACUCCAAGUAUUAUAUUUUAUAAGAUUUAUUAGUAAUCAUGAGGUAGAAGAAAUGAAAAAUAGAAGUAUAAAGCUUAAGUAUGACCACAUGAGUAAAAUUUCCUGCCAAGCUCCUGCUCCCUCCACAGCCCCAUUCUGGGAAGAAGAGGGAGAGGGGUGGGGUCAUAUCAAAAUAUAUACUCCCUACGUUAAGAUGUAGCAUAAACAUGCAGAUGGAAUGCUGGGUAAGAGAGUCCUGGGGAGCAAAUUCUAUUCACACACUGGAGUAUAAAGAAGUAUGAUUUCUUUGGUUUGGAUCAGUAAUUUCAUCUCUGUGAGGUAGUCCUGGUAUAGAAACUUCUUCACCUGAUCUGUCACUUAGAGACUUAGAGUUCCCUGGAGCAUU